This 465-nucleotide ribosomal RNA is filed under the name Vreelandella stevensii. RNAcentral describes it as "partial 16S ribosomal RNA". It matches the Rfam family "Bacterial small subunit ribosomal RNA", at positions 338 to 795 of the family's 1533-position model. The record is from RNAcentral. Lineage: Bacteria; Pseudomonadati; Pseudomonadota; Gammaproteobacteria; Oceanospirillales; Halomonadaceae.
CCUACGGGAGGCAGCAGUGGGGAAUAUUGGACAAUGGGGGGAACCCUGAUCCAGCCAUGCCGCGUGUGUGAAGAAGGCCCUCGGGUUGUAAAGCACUUUCAGUGAGGAAGAACGCCUGGUGGUUAAUACCCGUCAGGAAAGACAUCACUCACAGAAGAAGCACCGGCUAACUCCGUGCCAGCAGCCGCGGUAAUACGGAGGGUGCGAGCGUUAAUCGGAAUUACUGGGCGUAAAGCGCGCGUAGGUGGCUUGAUAAGCCGGUUGUGAAAGCCCCGGGCUCAACCUGGGAACGGCAUCCGGAACUGUCAAGCUAGAGUGCAGGAGAGGAAGGUAGAAUUCCCGGUGUAGCGGUGAAAUGCGUAGAGAUCUGGAGGAAUACCAGUGGCGAAGGCGGCCUUCUGGACUGAAACUGACACUGAGGUGCGAAAGCGUGGGUAGCAAACAGGAUUAGAUACCCUAGUAGUC